CUUAAGAUUGCAGCAAUACAGAAUUUCUGUUCUGUGGGGCUUAAGGCAUGAACACAAAUCUUCUUUAAUCUGAAUGGAUAUGUGUUAAUCUGAAGCAUGCAUUAUGGUUAGAGUGUGUAGUCCCUAAAUAGUCUAGAUUUUUUUUCUGAAAAGGGCAUUUGUUUUUCUUUACUGCUCUUAGGAUAUAACAAAGUCCAGCAGAGUCAACUCUUUUGGGAUCAAGUUGAGAACAUUAGACUGCCACGUGUUAAUUAGCAAAUACUACAUGAAUAUGAGUCUGGUUGCACUGCCUCUGUGUUCUUGGAGAAACAAGACCUCAAGGCAGAGACUUUUACAGCUUCAAGAAGAACUCUUCAUUUUCCUCUCUAUAGACUGAUGAAAGCUUGUUUUGGGUAACCUUUAAAAUCAAGAAAUAAAGCUUUAUAUGUCAUCCUCAUUUCCUUGUUGGCUCCAUGAGUGA
Molecule: long non-coding RNA, 460 nt
Filed under: Rattus norvegicus (Norway rat)
Lineage: Eukaryota; Metazoa; Chordata; Mammalia; Rodentia; Muridae
Description: long non-coding RNA NONRATT031967
Source: RNAcentral